Molecule: ribosomal RNA, 433 nt
Filed under: uncultured bacterium
Lineage: Bacteria
Description: partial 16S ribosomal RNA
Rfam family: Bacterial small subunit ribosomal RNA
Source: RNAcentral
AACGAACGCUGGCGGCAUGCCUAACACAUGCAAGUCGAACGAGACCUUCGGGUCUAGUGGCGCACGGGUGCGUCACGCGUGGGAACCUGCCCUUAGGUUCGGAAUAACUCCCUGAAAGGGGUGCUAAUACCGGAUAAUGUCUUCGGACCAAAGAUUUAUCGCCUUUGGAUGGGCCCGCGUUGGAUUAGCUAGUUGGUAGGGUAAAAGCCUACCAAGGCGACGAUCCAUAGCUGGUCUGAGAGGAUGAUCAGCCACACUGGGACUGAGACACGGCCCAGACUCCUACGGGAGGCAGCAGUGGGGAAUAUUGGACAAUGGGCGAAAGCCUGAUCCAGCAAUGCCGCGUGAGUGAUGAAGGCCUGAGGGUUGUAAAGCUCUUUUACCCGGGAUGAUAAUGACAGUACCGGGAGAAUAAGCUCCGGCUAACUCCGUG